AGUAGUUUGAUCAGUGGCUCAGGACGAACGCUGGCGGCGUGCUUAACACAUGCAAGUCGAACGGUAAGGCCCUUCGGGGUACACGAGUGGCGAACGGGUGAGUAACACGUGGGUGAUCUGCCCUGCACUUCGGGAUAAGCCUGGGAAACUGGGUCUAAUACCGGAUAGGACUCCUGGCUUCAUGGUUGGGGUGUAAAGCUUUUGCGGUGUGGGAUGGGCCCGCGGCCUAUCAGCUUGUUGGUGGGGUAAUGGCCUACCAAGGCGACGACGAGUAGCCGGCCUGAGAGGGUGACCGGCCACACUGGGACUGAGAUACGGCCCAGACUCCUACGGGAGGCAGCAGUGGGGAAUAUUGCACAAUGGGCGCAAGCCUGAUGCAGCGACGCCGCGUGAGGGAUGACGGCCUUCGGGUUGUAAACCUCUUUCAAUAGGGACGAAGCGCAAGUGACGGUACCUAUAGAAGAAGGACCGGCCAACUACGUG
RNAcentral lists this ribosomal RNA (483 nucleotides) under uncultured bacterium. RNAcentral describes it as "bacterial SSU rRNA". It matches the Rfam family "Bacterial small subunit ribosomal RNA", at positions 1 to 507 of the family's 1533-position model. The record is from RNAcentral.